This is a long non-coding RNA of Mauremys mutica (yellowpond turtle), 346 nucleotides long. RefSeq lists it as uncharacterized. Lineage: Eukaryota; Metazoa; Chordata; Testudines; Geoemydidae. The transcript has 3 exons. The record is from RefSeq and is a predicted model, not a curated record.
CUGACAAGAAUUGCUUGAGUCUGAAUACAAAGAGUGUGAAUGACCUCUUCACCUGCAAGUUAGAACUGACUCUGGAUCAAGUGCAGGACAGUGGAGCUUCCUUGGUGUUGCUCUUUCUAUACUAGUUUCCAGGUGAUCAAUCAAGUGUUACUGGUUGCUUAUGUCAUCCAACAGAUCAGAGUGCCUCAAGGCACCACCAAGUACCUUCUCAGCCAGUAGAGGUCAACUCUCCAGAGAGAAGUCAAGUUAUGCUGGUGGGCCAGUGUGAGGAGCACUGCUCAUGCUAUACCUUUCUGUGAAUGAAAAGGACCACAAUUUCCAAGGCUGCCAAUCCGGCACCUUUCAA